UAUUAUCUACCGCGAAAACUAGUUCUCUUUCGUUAUCAUGAUUGCUAAUGCACAAUUAUUACCCUGUGUAUUUGCAUUUCAAUAAAACACACAUUCAAGUAUACACACUCACUGAUAAGAGGACACUAGUGUAUCUCUGAGUCACAAAUCUGCAACGGUCGGAAAUUCGUCGCCAUAGGAUCAACAUUUCGAGGUGUGAUUAAGUACAUUGUCUUGAAGAAUGGCGGGUGUAAACAGGCAAGAUUUCGAUGAUAUUUUGAAAGCAGUUGCCAGAAGAACAAAGCAAGAUGUAGAAAUAGAUGAUCUCGGAAAGGCACUAAAAAUUCCUUCGUAUGAUAUUCAAAGUGCUCAGAAAAGGAACAGCCAAGAUCAUUCACAUAUGGGGUCGUUGGAGUUGCUGAGAGACUGGAUGCAAAGACAAAAUUCAUCAACAAUGAGACAGACCUUGAUAGAUGCCUUGGUAAAGAUAAAACGGAAUGACAUACUCGAAGAAUGUUUUCCGGAGGACGGCGCUGAUACUGUGACCGAACCUACCAAAAAAAAACCAGCAUCGCGUACCUCUGGACUACUAACGGGCAGGAUGACACCUUUGACGGACCUGGAAUUGAUCGAGAUAGCGGACGCUCUGGGUAACCACGUGAAACUUGCGGCUCUGGGAUUACAUCUUGGUUUCAUCGAAUCUGAGGUGGACAUGUUUCUUGCUACAAAUCGAGUUGAUGGCAUUGUGUCUUCCAAAGGCACCAAGAAUAUGCUAUCUGCAUGGAGGAACAACACUCCCGGCGCUGACCAGGCGAAGAAGCUCUGGGAUGCCUUGGUGGCUGCCAAGUUGGGGUACGUUGCUGAGAAACACCUGAAGUGAUUUUCCUGGGAUAUUCUUAGAGGAUAAGUCGAUGUCACCGGAAUGUAAACUGUUGAUUUCUUAUAACUUUGGCUUUUUUUUUUAAUUUUUGUUCGAAGCUACCGAAGUUUCAUGUCAAUUAAAUAUACUGGUAUCACUGAAAGGCAUAGAAGAUUUCAUUAUUUUGGAGGCCCUCUGUACGAAUUGUAGCUAAUUGCUCCCUCUAUAUAGAAAACUUCCCCAAUCGGUGCCUGUUGGUCCCCCAUGAUCCUCUAUUUAUUAUGUUAUUUGAGAGCUGUCAGUGCCCUCGCUGUAUGUUCUAAUCCCUCCUGGCCAAACUAGUGCAGAUAAGCUUUAACUGACGAAUACCUUUAAAGAGGUUUCCCAAAUCUUUUAAAUGGCGGUUUCCAUUGCUCCUGAUGUCACAAUUUCAUUAUGCCAUUUGAGAAGAAUCGAUGAAAAUAAUGCCAUCUUUUAAAUAGAAAGAUAUUUCAUGUCUUGGACAACUUUUGGUAUGGAAGUCAUAAAAGGGUUUAAUAAAUUGAUUUGUUUGGCUAGGCCUGUAUGUUGGAAAUAUUACAAAAUCUUAGUUACAUUCUAAUUGUCGAGUUAGGCUCAGAAUGUUCACCAUUUUCGCUGAAGGUUUCCCAAAUCUGGAAGCUAUCAAACAUGCAAAUUCUUUGUCCCCAAUGGUAAUUUGUAUAUAUAUGUUUUUUUUUACAUAAAAAUAAAUCAAUAAAUAUGUAAAUCUAAAAUACAUUUGAUGACCAAUCAUCAUAGCUAGGUGGCUUGUGAUUGUUGAGGAAAAUGAAACCACAACUCAUUUUGUUUGUGUAUAAGUUACUUGUUACUAAGUACUGGUAUUGUAUGGUAGUUAUUUUCCAGAUCACAAUAUGAAAAACAAUAUCAACAAUAUAACAAAAGUACAUGUUCAUAUAAAAUUGAGAAUAUAGUGAAUGGCUGGAUAGCCUGCUCAGCUUUUUUAAUACGACAAAUUUGUCGAGAAAAAUAAAUGAAAAAAAGAACUCGAAAUAAAUAAAAACAAGACACUUUUUCAUAAUAGUCGAACAAUUCUGUUGAUGACAUCUAGAAAACACAAAACACUUCUAAAACUGUUAUUGACCCACCCCACCCCCUACCGGUGGUAAAUGUAAAUUAUGCCAGGAAUCUUCCACGAGCUUUAAUCAAUCUUGUGUACUUUAUACGCUAAGUUAUCAUACAUGUAUGUAUCGAACCUGUAUGCAUUUAUUCAGCUGUAUGUCUAAUUUGAAUGAAAUAUACAGACCCAUUGCACAAAAAA
Molecule: RNA transcript, 2138 nt
Organism: Strongylocentrotus purpuratus (purple sea urchin)
Lineage: Eukaryota; Metazoa; Echinodermata; Echinoidea; Camarodonta; Strongylocentrotidae
Exons: 5
Source: RefSeq, a predicted model, not a curated record